RNAcentral lists this ribosomal RNA (505 nucleotides) under uncultured bacterium. RNAcentral's name for it is "partial 16S ribosomal RNA". It matches the Rfam family "Bacterial small subunit ribosomal RNA", at positions 28 to 507 of the family's 1533-position model. The record is from RNAcentral.
GACGAACGCUGGCGGCGUGCCUAAUACAUGCAAGUAGAACGCACAGUUUAUACCGUAGCUUGCUACACCAUAAACUGUGAGUUGCGAACGGGUGAGUAACGCGUAGGUAACCUGCCUGGUAGCGGGGGAUAACUAUUGGAAACGAUAGCUAAUACCGCAUAAUAUUGAUUAUUGCAUGAUAAUUGAUUGAAAGAUGCUAUUGCAUCACUACCAGAUGGACCUGCGUUGUAUUAGCUAGUAGGUGAGGUAACGGCUCACCUAGGCGACGAUACAUAGCCGACCUGAGAGGGUGAUCGGCCACACUGGGACUGAGACACGGCCCAGACUCCUACGGGAGGCAGCAGUAGGGAAUCCUCGGCAAUGGACGAAAGUCUGACCGAGCAACGCCGCGUGAGUGAAGAAGGUUUUCGGAUCGUAAAGCUCUGUUGUAAGAGAAGAACGGGUGUGAGAGUGGAAAGUUCACACUGUGACGGUAUCUUACCAGAAAGGGACGGCUAACUACGUG